GUAGGUGGCAAGCGUUGUCCGGAAUUAUUGGGCGUAAAGCGCGCGCAGGCGGUUCUUUAAGUCUGAUGUGAAAGCCCACGGCUCAACCGUGGAGGGUCAUUGGAAACUGGAGAACUUGAGUACAGAAGAGGAAAGCGGAAUUCCACGUGUAGCGGUGAAAUGCGUAGAGAUGUGGAGGAACACCAGUGGCGAAGGCGGCUUUCUGGUCUGUAACUGACGCUGAGGCGCGAAAGCGUGGGGAGCAAACAGGGACUAGAUACCCUGGUAGUCCACGCCGUAAACGAUGAGUGCUAAGUGUUAGGGGGUUUCCGCCCCCUUAGUGCUGCAGCUAACGCAUUAAGCACUCCGCCUGGGGAGUACGGCCGCAAGGCUG
Molecule: ribosomal RNA, 373 nt
Filed under: uncultured organism
Description: partial 16S ribosomal RNA
Rfam family: Bacterial small subunit ribosomal RNA
Source: RNAcentral